AUUCCAUGGUAAAGGCACCAUCUCAAUAAGUCAUUAUACCUUUCCCAUGCAUCAUAUAACAUUCUAAAUCAAUCUACAUGAAGGAAGAGAUAUCAUUCCUCAACUU
Gossypium arboreum is the source of this 106-nucleotide non-coding RNA. The record is from Rfam. NCBI's taxonomy places the organism in Eukaryota, Viridiplantae, Streptophyta, Magnoliopsida, Malvales, Malvaceae.